This 427-nucleotide ribosomal RNA is filed under the name Pseudomonas sp. RNAcentral's name for it is "partial 16S ribosomal RNA". It matches the Rfam family "Bacterial small subunit ribosomal RNA", at positions 355 to 774 of the family's 1533-position model. The record is from RNAcentral. Lineage: Bacteria; Pseudomonadati; Pseudomonadota; Gammaproteobacteria; Pseudomonadales; Pseudomonadaceae. RNAcentral also lists the same sequence under 1 other name.
UGGGGAAUAUUGGACAAUGGGCGAAAGCCUGAUCCAGCCAUGCCGCGUGUGUGAAGAAGGUCUUCGGAUUGUAAAGCACUUUAAGUUGGGAGGAAGGGCAGUUACCUAAUACGUGAUUGUUUUGACGUUACCGACAGAAUAAGCACCGGCUAACUCUGUGCCAGCAGCCGCGGUAAUACAGAGGGUGCAAGCGUUAAUCGGAAUUACUGGGCGUAAAGCGCGCGUAGGUGGUUUGUUAAGUUGGAUAUGAAAUCCCCGGGCUCAACCUGGGAACUGCAUUCAAAACUGACUGACUAGAGUAUGGUAGAGGGUGGUGGAAUUUCCUGUGUAGCGGUGAAAUGCGUAGAUAUAGGAAGGAACACCAGUGGCGAAGGCGACCACCUGGACUAAUACUGACACUGAGGUGCGAAAGCGUGGGGAGCAAACA